Molecule: ribosomal RNA, 253 nt
Filed under: uncultured bacterium
Lineage: Bacteria
Description: partial 16S ribosomal RNA
Rfam family: Bacterial small subunit ribosomal RNA
Source: RNAcentral
UACGUAGGGAGCAAGCGUUGUCCGGAAUCAUUGGGCGUAAAGCGCGCGUAGGUGGCCUCAUAAGUCCGCUGUGAAAGUCAAAGGCUCAACCUUUGAAAGCCGGUGGAUACUGUGAGGCUAGAGUACGGAAGAGGCGAGUGGAAUUCCUGGUGUAGCGGUGAAAUGCGCAGAUAUCAGGAGGAACACCCGGGGCGAAGGCGGCUCUCUGGGACGGUACUGACGCUGAGACGCGAAAGCGUGGGGAGCGAACAGG